UACGUAGGGUGCGAGCGUUGUCCGGAAUUAUUGGGCGUAAAGAGCUCGUAGGCGGUUUGUCGCGUCGGCCGUGAAAACUUGGAGCUUAACCCCAAGCUUGCGGUCGAUACGGGCAGACUUGAGUUCGGCAGGGGAGACUGGAAUUCCUGGUGUAGCGGUGAAAUGCGCAGAUAUCAGGAGGAACACCGGUGGCGAAGGCGGGUCUCUGGGCCGAUACUGACGCUGAGGAGCGAAAGCGUGGGGAGCGAACAGG
RNAcentral lists this ribosomal RNA (253 nucleotides) under uncultured bacterium. Its description in RNAcentral is "partial 16S ribosomal RNA". It matches the Rfam family "Bacterial small subunit ribosomal RNA", at positions 524 to 776 of the family's 1533-position model. The record is from RNAcentral.